This 303-nucleotide ribosomal RNA is filed under the name uncultured bacterium. RNAcentral describes it as "partial 16S ribosomal RNA". It matches the Rfam family "Bacterial small subunit ribosomal RNA", at positions 507 to 807 of the family's 1533-position model. The record is from RNAcentral.
AGCAGUAGCCGCGGUAAUACGUAGGUGGCAAGCGUUGUCCGGAAUUAUUGGGCGUAAAGGGCUCGCAGGCGGUUUCUUAAGUCUGAUGUGAAAGCCCCCGGCUCAACCGGGGAGGGUCAUUGGAAACUGGGAAACUUGAGUGCAGAAGAGGAGAGUGGAAUUCCACGUGUAGCGGUGAAAUGCGUAGAGAUCGGAAAGAACACCAACGGCGAAAGCACUCUGCUGGGCCGACACUGACACUGAGAGACGAAAGCUAGGGGAGCAAAUGGGAUUAGAUACCCCUGUAGUCCCUGUCUCUUAUAC